GACGAAGGGAGCUAGCGUUGUUCGGAAUCACUGGGCGUAAAGCGCACGUAGGCGGAUUUGUAAGUCAGGGGUGAAAUCCCGGGGCUCAACCUCGGAACUGCCUUUGAUACUGCAAAUCUCGAGUCCGAUAGAGGUGGGUGGAAUUCCUAGUGUAGAGGUGAAAUUCGUAGAUAUUAGGAAGAACACCGGUGGCGAAGGCGGCCCACUGGAUCGGUACUGACGCUGAGGUGCGAAAGCGUGGGGAGCAAACAGG
This 253-nucleotide ribosomal RNA is filed under the name uncultured bacterium. Its description in RNAcentral is "partial 16S ribosomal RNA". It matches the Rfam family "Bacterial small subunit ribosomal RNA", at positions 524 to 776 of the family's 1533-position model. The record is from RNAcentral.